CUCGUAGGCGGUUCGUCGCGUCCGGUGUGAAAGUCCAUCGCUUAACGGUGGAUCCGCGCCGGGUACGGGCGGGCUUGAGUGCGGUAGGGGAGACUGGAAUUCCCGGUGUAACGGUGGAAUGUGUAGAUAUCUGGAGGAACACCGGCGGCGAAAGCGGCCUACUGGCACGAAACUGACGCUGAGGCUCGAAAGCGUGGGGAGCGAACG
Molecule: ribosomal RNA, 207 nt
Filed under: uncultured bacterium
Lineage: Bacteria
Description: partial 16S ribosomal RNA
Rfam family: Bacterial small subunit ribosomal RNA
Source: RNAcentral